Long non-coding RNA from Dreissena polymorpha, 1235 nucleotides. RefSeq lists it as uncharacterized. The record is from RefSeq and is a predicted model, not a curated record. The transcript has 2 exons. Lineage: Eukaryota; Metazoa; Mollusca; Bivalvia; Myida; Dreissenidae.
UCGAAAGGAUACGCAUGAUUCGUCUCAAUUCCGUUUCCUAAAAUACUACCUUAAAUGUACAUUUAUAUUGCCUAAACUAACAUUUAUUUAUAAAACUAAGUUAUUACAAUUAAAACACAUAGAUAAUGGCUAAUCUUAAUUGUGUUAUGGUUUAUUUAAGUCGGAAAUAAAAAGCAUGUCAUCCUAUUAAAUCGAUGAAAAAGUUAAAAUUGAGGACACCACUUGGCAUAAUUACAUGUCUGAAUACCGCGAACGAUUACAAAAAGCAUCCCCUGUGGCACUUAUAUCUCAUAAGUCGAUGUUGAAGUAAGUGAGGAACACGCAGAAGAAUCGUUGGACACAGAUGGAUCCAUUCGUUACGGAAGUGUCCAAGCAGGAGACGCGCACGUUCCUGAGAGAGCGAUUUCUGAGAAUGAUUGGCGCGUUAAACGGACAGGAGGCGGAGCUAAGCCUGUACGGGAAAUCGCGCGUGCGGGGUACGCUACGGGGAUUGGACAUCGAUGGACAGAGGGUGCAAGUAGGUGAUCUUCAAACACCGAUUGGGACACUGCCAUCGGCGUAUGUGCGAAUGAGCGACGUGAAGACAAUAACUGUGUCUGAUCUUAAAUCCGUUUGAUCAGUGUGCGGUUUUCUUCGGAAAUAGUUGUAAUAGGAAGUUGUAAACAUGCAAUGUAUUAAAUCUAAGAUCUGCGUUUGAAGAGUAAGGUGAAAUGUUUUUGGAUCGGUUUGAUAUCAUAAAAUAUCAUUAUGCACACAGGCUUCUGGACAUUUUGGUUUAGCGUUUGAUAGAGCUGAUUGUAUAUUGUAUGGAGUUCUGUUAAUGACGUCCAUUAUGAUUUUGGUUAAAUUGUUAGUUCUUCAGCCCCAUUACGUAAGAAAUUGUAUUUUAUUUGCAUACAAAAAAUAUACACAUGCCAUGUAAUACGUAGAUGCAUUCAUGCUGGAUGAAAUUAACAGUAAAAAUCUACAGAUAGUAAAACAUCCAGAAACUUGUAAUUAUAAAAAAUACAACAUUAAAACCUUUUUCGAUGAAUCUGAAUUAUAGAAACCAAACACUGAACAAAGACUUUUUGGAAAACUGUUCGCUGGACUUAUCCUGUUCUUAUCAGAGUGUCUACUAUCUGGCCUUUACUUUCUAAACGAAACGUUUUGUUUUGUAGUUGGUAUGUUAUUGUUGCGAUCAAGUAAUUGAGUAUUUUUCUAUAUUUUUUAAAUAAAUAUAACAUAUACAUUAA